GGAGAGGUGCCGGAGCGGUCGAACGGGGCGGUCUCGAAAACCGUUGAACCAGCGAUGGUUCCGUGGGUUCGAAUCCCACCCUCUCCGCCA
Molecule: transfer RNA, 90 nt
Filed under: Nitrospirillum viridazoti CBAmc
Lineage: Bacteria; Pseudomonadati; Pseudomonadota; Alphaproteobacteria; Rhodospirillales; Azospirillaceae
Also listed under: 1 other name
Description: Nitrospirillum amazonense CBAmc tRNA-Ser
Rfam family: tRNA
About the family: Transfer RNA (tRNA) molecules are approximately 80 nucleotides in length. Their secondary structure includes four short double-helical elements and three loops (D, anti-codon, and T loops). Further hydrogen bonds mediate the characteristic L-shaped molecular structure. tRNAs have two regions of fundamental functional importance: the anti-codon, which is responsible for specific mRNA codon recognition, and the 3' end, to which the tRNAs corresponding amino acid is attached (by aminoacyl-tRNA synthetases). tRNAs cope with the degeneracy of the genetic code in two manners: having more than one tRNA (with a specific anti-codon) for a particular amino acid; and 'wobble' base-pairing, i.e. permitting non-standard base-pairing at the 3rd anti-codon position.
Source: RNAcentral